RNAcentral lists this long non-coding RNA (495 nucleotides) under Lathyrus oleraceus (garden pea). RNAcentral's name for it is "Pisum sativum (pea) long non-coding RNA (PSAT_LNC037776)". Lineage: Eukaryota; Viridiplantae; Streptophyta; Magnoliopsida; Fabales; Fabaceae. The record is from RNAcentral.
UUUGAUUUUGGGGAGGAAGAUGGUGCCAGGGCGCGCGCAUUUUAGGUUUAAAAUUAUUGUUUGCUUUAUUUUGAUUGGAAGCAACAAAGAAUCACCAAGUGACUCACAGCCCAGUGGUGGGCGCGCUGAGUUGAAUUGCCAAGGGGAGGGGUUCGAAUCCCAUCUCCCCCAUUUGUGUUUUUUUUUCUUUCUUUGUUUAAAAAGUGCAUUUUUUUUUAAUGUUUUCUUUUAACAAUUUCCAUUUUGAUUUUCAUUUUUUCUUGUUUUACUUAACAUGAAAUAAAUAUGUGAACAUGAAAAAUGACAAAAAUAUGAGUAUUUGACUUUGUUGACUUUUUUUAGACCAUUUUGUGAAUUUAUCCCGAUUUUAUGAGUUCUAUUGAUUAAAUCUCAUCUUGUGUGUUUCAUGUGGUUAUUUUGAUCUUUCAGACCUGGGAUUUUUAUGUGAAAUCAAUUUAGGGUAGGAACAUGUCCCCUUAGACACUUAGGAUAAUU